This 253-nucleotide ribosomal RNA is filed under the name uncultured bacterium. Its description in RNAcentral is "partial 16S ribosomal RNA". It matches the Rfam family "Bacterial small subunit ribosomal RNA", at positions 524 to 776 of the family's 1533-position model. The record is from RNAcentral.
UACGUAGGGUGCAAGCGUUGUCCGGAAUUAUUGGGCGUAAAGAGCUCGUAGGCGGUUUGUUGCGUCGGCUGUGAAAUCCCGAGGCUCAACCUCGGGUCUGCAGUCGAUACGAGCAAACUAGAGUGUUGCAGGGGAGACUGGAAUUCCUGGUGUAGCGGUGAAAUGCGCAGAUAUCAGGAGGAACACCGGUGGCGAAGGCGGGUCUCUGGGCAACAACUGACGCUGAGACGCGAAAGCGUGGGGAGCAAACAGG